Molecule: ribosomal RNA, 482 nt
Filed under: uncultured bacterium
Lineage: Bacteria
Description: partial 16S ribosomal RNA
Rfam family: Bacterial small subunit ribosomal RNA
Source: RNAcentral
GACGAACGCUGGCGGCGUGCUUAACACAUGCAAGUCGAACGAUGAAGAAGAGAAACGCGAACUUCGGUUCAAAUUUCACUUCGGAUUAGUGGCAGACGGGUGAGUAACGCGUGAGCAACCUACCUCUUACAAAGGGAUAGCCUCGGGAAACCGUGAUUAAUACCAUAUGACACAUUCAUAAGGCAUCUUAAGAAUGUUAAAGCUACGGCGGUAAGAGAUGGGCUCGCGUCCCAUUAGCUAGUUGGUGAGGUAACGGCCCACCAAGGCGACGAUGGGUAACCGGCCUGAGAGGGUGAACGGUCACAUUGGAACUGAGACACGGUCCAAACUCCUACGGGAGGCAGCAGUGGGGAAUACUGCACAAUGGAGGGAACUCUGAUGCAGCGACGCCGCGUGAGCGAUGAAGGAAUUCGUUUCGUAAAGCUCUGUUCUAUGGGAAGAAAAGGACUGUACCAUAGGAGAAAGCCCCGGCUAAAUACGUG